Molecule: ribosomal RNA, 369 nt
Filed under: uncultured Anoxybacillus sp.
Lineage: Bacteria; Bacillati; Bacillota; Bacilli; Caryophanales; Anoxybacillaceae
Description: bacterial SSU rRNA
Rfam family: Bacterial small subunit ribosomal RNA
Source: RNAcentral
CCCCCUUCGGGGGGACAGGGUGACAGGUGGUGCAUGGUUGUCGUCAGCUCGUGUCGUGAGAUGUUGGGUAAGUCCCGCAACGAGCGCAACCCUCGACCUUAGUUGCCAGCAUUCAGUUGGGCACUCUAAGGUGACUGCCGGCUAAAAGUCGGAGGAAGGUGGGGGAUGACGUCAAAUCAUCAUGCCCCUUAUGACCUGGGCUACACACGUGCUACAAUGGGCGGUACAAAGGGUCGCGAACCCGCGAGGGGGAGCCAACCCCAAAAAGCCGCUCUCAGUUCGGAUUGCAGGCUGCAACUCGCCUGCAUGAAGCCGGAAUCGCUAGUAAUCGCGGAUCAGCAUGCCGCGGUGAAUACGUUCCCGGGCCUU